UUGAAGUCUGGAGCUGGCAUGUCAGUUAACUGCUAGUAGUCUGUUGUUAUUUAUGUAUUAUUGUCAUUUUGUUUAUUUUCUUUGGUUAAAUCUUCUGACAUCAGACUCGGACUUCUCUUGAACUGAAUUUUAAUGUGCGUAUUGUUAUGCGUUUACUUUUCUACAUUGGUUAGAGGUAUAGGGGGAGGGUUGAGAUCUCACAAACAUGUUUAACCCCGCCGCAUUUUUGCGCCUGUCCCAAGUCAGGAGCCUCUGGCCUUUGUUAGUCUUGUAUUAUUUUAAUUUUAGUUUCUUGUGUACAAUUUGGAAAUUAGUAUGGCGUUCAUUGUCACUGGACU
This 338-nucleotide long non-coding RNA is filed under the name Mytilus galloprovincialis (Mediterranean mussel). Lineage: Eukaryota; Metazoa; Mollusca; Bivalvia; Mytilida; Mytilidae. The record is from RNAcentral.